AGUGAACGCUGGCGGUAGGCCUAACACAUGCAAGUCGAACGGCAGCACAGUAAGAGCUUGCUCUUACGGGUGGCGAGUGGCGGACGGGUGAGGAAUACAUCGGAAUCUACUUUUUCGUGGGGGAUAACGUAGGGAAACUUACGCUAAUACGGCAUACGAACUACGGGUGAAAGCAGGGGAUCUUCGGACCUUGCGCGAUUGAAUGAGCCGAUGUCGGAUUAGCUAGUUGGCGGGGUAAAGGCCCACCAAGGCGACGAUCCGUAGCUGGUCUGAGAGGAUGAUCAGCCACACUGGAACUGAGACACGGUCCAGACUCCUACGGGAGGCAGCAGUGGGGAAUAUUGGACAAUGGGCGCAAGCCUGAUCCAGCCAUACCGCGUGGGUGAAGAAGGCCUUCGGGUUGUAAAGCCCUUUUGUUGGGAAAGAAAAGCAGCAGGUUAAUACCCCGCUGUUCUGACGGUACCCAAAGAAUAAGCACCGGCUAACUUCGUG
Molecule: ribosomal RNA, 492 nt
Filed under: uncultured bacterium
Lineage: Bacteria
Description: partial 16S ribosomal RNA
Rfam family: Bacterial small subunit ribosomal RNA
Source: RNAcentral